RNAcentral lists this ribosomal RNA (395 nucleotides) under uncultured bacterium. RNAcentral's name for it is "bacterial SSU rRNA". It matches the Rfam family "Bacterial small subunit ribosomal RNA", at positions 505 to 898 of the family's 1533-position model. The record is from RNAcentral.
GUGUCAGCAGCCGCGGUAAUACGGAGGGUGCGAGCGUUGUCCGGAAUCACUGGGCGUAAAGGGCGCGUAGGCGGUCUGCUAAGCGUGCGGUGAAAGCCUGGGGCUCAACCCCAGGUCUGCCGUGCGAACUGGUGGACUCGAGCACUGUAGAGGCAGGUGGAAUUCCGGGUGUAGCGGUGGAAUGCGUAGAGAUCCGGAAGAACACCGGUGGCGAAGGCGGCCUGCUGGGCAGUUGCUGACGCUGAUGCGCGACAGCGUGGGGAGCAAACAGGAUUAGAUACCCUGGUAGUCCACGCCGUAAACGAUGGGCACUAGGUGCUUGGGGGAGCGACCCCCCGAGUGCCGGCGCUAACGCAUUAAGUGCCCCGCCUGGGGAGUACGACCGCAAGGUUGAA